CUAUACAUGACUCUGCGCAUAUCAAUAAGGGAGGAAAAGAAACUAACAAGGAUUCCCUUAGUAACGGCGAGUGAAGCGGGAAGAGCUCAAAUUUGAAAUCUUCAAGGUUUUACCUUGACGAAUUGUAGUUUAAAGAAGUGUUUUCUGUUGGAGUUUCGGUAAAGGUUCUUUGGAAUAGGACAUCAUAGAGGGUGAGAAUCCCGUAUUUGACCAGUUACUUUCCAGCUGUGUGAUACACUUUCAAAGAGUCGGAUUGUUUGGGAAUACAGUCCAAAAUGGGUGAUAAAUUUCAUCUAAAGCUAAAUAUUGGCGAGAGACCGAUAGCGAACAAGUAGCCGUGAGGGAAAGAUGAAAAGAACUUUGAAAAGAGAGUUAAACAGUACGGUGAAAUUGUCAAAAGGGAAGCGUUUGACACCAGUGUUGUUUAGUUCGAAAAUCAAUUCACUAAUUUUUGAUUUUUAAGUAGUUAUGACUUCAUCAGCUUGCUGCCUUUCUUUAGGAAACUUUCUUGAAUGCACUUUUCAGUUAACAAGUCAACAUCAAUUUCUCUUGUUGUAAAAGGGUAUAGAGGAAGGUGGCUUGCGCUUUCGGAUAAAGUGUUUAUAGCCUUGUAUCCUCUGCAAUCGGAGAGAUUGAGGUCUGCAGCGUAGAUCCUUCGGGGUUAGAUACAUUGGUGCUAAGUUAUAGCUUGUCAUAGACAACUUGUUGACUAUGUUCAGUCAUUGUAGCUUACUCGCUGAUGCUAUUUUACCUACGCUUAGGAUGUUGAAGAUAUGCGCGACACGACGCUAUACAUGACUCUGCGCAUAUCAAUAAGCGGAGGAAAAGUCAAUACCUACGCUUAGGAUGUUGAAGAUAUGCGCGACACGGCUCUAUACAUGACUCUGCGCAUAUCAAUAAGCGGAGGAAAAGAAACUAACUAGGAUUCCCUUAGUAAUGACGAGUGAAGCGGGAAGAUCUUACUCGCUUGCGCUAUUUUACCUACGCUUAGGAUGUUGAAGAUAUGCGCGACACGACCCUAUACAUGACUCUGCGCAUAUCAAUAAGCGGAGGAAAAGAGGGCUAUUACCUACGCUUAGGAUGUUGAAGAUAUGCGCGACACG
RNAcentral lists this ribosomal RNA (1103 nucleotides) under uncultured Neocallimastigales. Its description in RNAcentral is "partial large subunit ribosomal RNA". It matches the Rfam family "Eukaryotic large subunit ribosomal RNA", at positions 21 to 644 of the family's 3401-position model. Lineage: Eukaryota; Fungi; Neocallimastigomycota; Neocallimastigomycetes; Neocallimastigales. The record is from RNAcentral.